CUGAUAUUCCUGUCCUACAGUGAAGAUCGACUCACUAAACAUGUGCACGUCUCACCAGGAGAGAAAAUAUUUGUUGAAAAGAGCUUCAAAACAAGCUAUAAAUAACACCCAUCAUAUCUAUCAGCUUUGUCUUCUCCUGUUCUAAGGCAGUUGCAACCAGAAUUUUCUCAUAUUUGCCCAGAGCAAGGACUUUUCAUUUUGGAAGAGGCAUAUUCUUUUCUCAAGAAAAUGAGGAAGUGGGUAGAAGUUUGCCCAAGGAAAUAAUGAUAGUCACCACGAUAAUCUGAUCAGGUACCUCUGAAAUGGCAAAACACUGAGCAGCACUUGCCAAAUAAAUUAAGGGAGACAACUGCCUUCUGAGUUAAUUAUCUUUACAUCAGGUGUAUGGAAUGUUCAGAGGAUCCCCUUGGGUUUUCUGUCAUUUUGGCUGAGUAGAUAUCUUAACAAUUAUCAUAGACUCUUUGUAGGAUUUGGCAAUAAGUUAUUCUAAUAUGAAAAUUCAAUUUCUGAAUAUACUUCCAAAAAUAUCCCGGUGAUUAUCUGGAUGACAUACAGUCUUUACCCUCUGGGUCCUACAUUGUAGAUGACAUAACAGUUGUUUGCUACAGUAACAAGUACCUAUACUAGCAGAGCCAUGAUUUCUAAUGUAAGAGGGAAGAAACAUGCAGCAGUUUAGUCAAUAGGUAUGUACGUACAUGUACACACAAUUCCAGUUUAUGGCUGAAUAAAGAUCAUUAUCUGAUAUAAUAUCGAGGUCCAUCAUUGUCAAAUAUGUUGAUGUUAGAUGUAGUUUUCGAGGAAGGGAGUCUGAUGCCCCCUUGAUACCCCCUACCAUCCCAGAAACCACCCCAUGUGAUCAGUUUGUGAACAGAAUGAGAUACAGGCAUUUGACGAGCACUGAGAGAUCUCUAGAAUUUCUCCUAAUCACAUCACUGACGGAGAAAACUGCCAUCUGCCAGCAGAGACUGUAUGCCACAGACAACAUAUGUCGUAUGGAAGUUGAUGUGGCGACUCUGGUGUGACUAAACGAAGGAUGGCACCCCCCUAAAAUCUCAAUGGUAAGGGUCCAGAACCAAAUGUUUCUAAGUGAUUACAGUAUUAUUGGAGGAAUAUCAGCUGCUCUGACAACAAAAAAUCUGAGACUGGAUUAGAGGGAUAGAGAGGAUGACUCAUGUAGUGAGGGUGUGAACACUUUUCCAUCAUGUCAAUUCUAUGCACUGAAAAUUUAUAGUUACCCCAUUUUAUUUAUCUCUAGUUUCAGGAAGAAAAAAGAACAGUUAUUGUCUCACAAGAAUCAUUCUUUCCAUCACCUGAUCAUAAAAGCUUCUACAGUACAAAUGGAAUAUAAUUGUUGAAAUACAUUUAUAUCAAUCAAUAAAAUUUGUAUAAAUAUA
Molecule: long non-coding RNA, 1394 nt
Organism: Ostrea edulis (European flat oyster)
Lineage: Eukaryota; Metazoa; Mollusca; Bivalvia; Ostreida; Ostreidae
Exons: 4
Source: RefSeq, a predicted model, not a curated record